UACGGAGGGGGCUAGCGUUGUUCGGAAUUACUGGGCGUAAAGCGCACGUAGGCGGCUUUGUAAGUUAGAGGUGAAAGCCCGGGGCUCAACUCCGGAAUUGCCUUUAAGACUGCAUCGCUAGAAUUGUGGAGAGGUAAGUGGAAUUCCGAGUGUAGAGGUGAAAUUCGUAGAUAUUAGGAAGAACACCGGUGGCGAAGGCGGCCCACUGGAUCGGUACUGACGCUGAGGUGCGAAAGCGUGGGGAGCAAACAGG
This 253-nucleotide ribosomal RNA is filed under the name uncultured bacterium. Its description in RNAcentral is "partial 16S ribosomal RNA". It matches the Rfam family "Bacterial small subunit ribosomal RNA", at positions 524 to 776 of the family's 1533-position model. The record is from RNAcentral.